This is a long non-coding RNA of Sapajus apella (tufted capuchin), 2105 nucleotides long. RefSeq lists it as uncharacterized. The record is from RefSeq and is a predicted model, not a curated record. NCBI's taxonomy places the organism in Eukaryota, Metazoa, Chordata, Mammalia, Primates, Cebidae. The transcript is spliced from 2 exons.
UGGAAAUCCGCCCUAAGACUUCUGGGAAAUGGAGUCUAAGGCACUGUGACGAUAAGCAUCUCGGAGAUUUCUGGGAAUUGUAGUUCGUCGACUGAGGCGGCAUUCCGGACUAGACUCCAGGAGGCGGGGCAAGGAGGACAGCGCGGUUGCUGGUCCUCCCUCCAAGGCCGCUUCCAAGGUUCGGCCUCUCUUCAAGGCCAUUUCUGCUUAGGGAGAAGAGACCUGAAGCUCCGUGAGCCCUUGCGUGCUCACGGGGGUGAGGAUGAGGCAUCUAGGAUAUCAAUAAUGAACCCUAUAACGGCAGAGACUGAACCCGAAGGACGAGGGAGAAAGCCUGUGUAUAAUCGGGUUUGGAAGCAGCAACACCCCUCUUGCCAGGGAUUGGGAUGAUGAGGGUGAAACAGCCUUUCUGAAGGCAUAAGCCCUGUGGGUAGUUAACUAGAGGUGCCCAUUUAAAGUAGAUGUGCAUGUAACCACAAAUAGUGUUGGCUAGGGCCUAUAACAGUGUUCGGAGCGCUUGGAAGUGCCAGUAAGCUUUUAGUCCCAGCUAUGGAAGGGAACUGAGCCCCAGUGUUCAUUAAUAAAGAAGCAGUUAGUAACUGUAUGUGCUGCCCUUCAGGUUCAUAAGAGUGUGGUUGGAUGGGUUACAGUCAUGCAAAUGACUUACCCAAUAGCAGGAUGGGUACGUUCAUGGGUAACAACCCCCCAGACUGGGACAGCACAGACAUCCACUUUAGUGAAGGGGGGCACUUACUUAGAGCGGUGGAGUAUGCUGAGUACCAGUCCCUUAGCAGCAGAGCUGCAAGAGGUCUUGAGACCUGUAGUCCUAAUACAAGAUAAGGCCAUGGGGCCUGAGGCACCUCUCGACCCUGAGCCUUCGCUGUUAGGAAGGGUGUCCUCCUAUUCCUAAUAGGGCAUGGUACACAGUUAGAUCUAGCUGGGUGCUACUGCUGCCUGGUCUGCUGGUGUGGUCCAGCCUAGUACUGACACCAUAUGGUUUGAAACCAGGUGUAGACAGAGAAGCUAAUGAGCUGAACUCAGGGCAGUGUGAAUAGCAAUCACUGAGGUGUCUAUGGUACCUACUAUGGUAAUCUGGGCUGACAGCUGCUCAGUUUAUUGAAGCCUAUGCGAAUGUAUGUAUCGGGCUUGUGUGCCCAAAGCCUAUGUGUCAGGCUAAUGUGUUAAGCUUGUGUAUGUAUAUUGGGCCUGCAUGCCUAAAGCUUAUGUGUCAGGCUAAUGUAUCAAGCCUAUGUAUGGGCCUGUGUGCCCAAACCCUACGUCUCCCUCAGCCUGGGGAUGGAGGGUAAGGCACGUGGAUGUGUUUUGGUCAAGGAAUAGGCUGAGGUGGACAUCCAGGCCUCCAUGACUCAGAAAGUUUGGCAUGCAGGUGCAUACCUUCACUUAUUAUAUAUAACCUGUUUGUGUACAUUCAUAUUUGGCUCUGAGCCAUUAUUGUCUGUAAAAGGUAUAAUUGCCCUGCUGACGCUGUGCACAGGGCCCAGCUCAACAUGGCUCUUGUGCAGGUGCUGGUGCCCAGGGAGAGAGUGAAGCUACUGGCCCCUGUAAGGGAGAAUGACCAACUGGCAGACGGGCAGGUGGGGAGUCAGGAACAAGCUCGUGCCCAGAGAGAGUUAAGCUGCUGACCCUGAAGACGAGGGAGAGCCAGCCAUGCAGCUGCGUGUGGGAGUGGCUCGUUCAAGCAGCCAAGACAGGGCAGACAGUGUGAGAGAGCUGACGUAAGUGAGCUAAUGUGAGUAAGCUGCUGAUGAGCACUGCUGCUGAAUAAAAUCAUCUUUCUCUUGCCUACAGUCCCCCGAGUAUUCUUUCAGCUGUUUGUCCAUCCACCUAGUCCCUGCUAGACCCUGGCAUUUCAACCUGACACCCUCUAAAUGCUCCAUGAUAUGCUCUUGGUUAUGCACUGUGUUCUUAUCCAGGCCCAUGCUGCCGGGUUGGGAGAAGCUGGCUGCAGAGUCCUUAGCCCUGACACAUGGAGCACAAAAGCCCCAGGGCAGGACACAUAGGAAGGAAGUUCGGAACAGGGAUCUUAUCACCAACAUCCUGACGAUUUCCACUGCAUGAUGCAAAGCCCUGUAACAUUUUUAAUU